This 32-nucleotide non-coding RNA is filed under the name Geobacter sulfurreducens KN400. Lineage: Bacteria; Pseudomonadati; Thermodesulfobacteriota; Desulfuromonadia; Geobacterales; Geobacteraceae. The record is from RNAcentral.
UUCGGUCCCUUCCGAAGAGGGGCCUCAACAAC